Molecule: long non-coding RNA, 1303 nt
Organism: Vigna unguiculata (cowpea)
Lineage: Eukaryota; Viridiplantae; Streptophyta; Magnoliopsida; Fabales; Fabaceae
Source: RefSeq, a predicted model, not a curated record
AGUGGAAUUUUUUCAUUUUUGGAAGAGGUCUAUAACCUCCACAAAUCAUUUUACACUUUUCAUUCCCUUUUAUCUUUUUUCAGCUUUUCCCUCCACCACGUUUGGUUACACUCUGCCUUCAUUUUUGCUUUGGAUUAGGGUUUAGUUCAGGGAAAUUGGUCUCCGUCGUCGCUCGUUGGUAGUCGUCGCUCGUUGGUAGUCGUCGCUUGUCGACAGUCAUCAUCGUCGGUCAGUGCUCGUUGUCAGCGGCGACAUUCAGUGAAAUCGUCUCUAUCAUGGCUCGUUUGUCGUUCACUUGUGCUCGUCAUCGUCGACCUUCAAGGUGAACCCAAAAGCUACCAACUAAAUGAUAUUUGUUUAGGAAAGAUUAGAAAAGAGUAGAUAAUUGACUGAAUUACAACUCCAUAUCAACUCUUGUCCCUAAAGUUGGAAAGGAGAAAGAAUUGGCGAAGGAAAAGAUUCAAAAGUGUGAUGUAAAAAUUAGAUUAGUUGUAACAGGACACUUGUGCUACCUUCAAAUACUGCCAUUGCACCUGUGAAUCCAACAUUUUUGCCUAGGUCUGAAGAUGAAAGGGAAAUGUGCUCAAGAAGCUCAGGACACAAGGCACCGCUGUUGAUCGGGUGUGAUGUCAGAAAUUUGACUGCUGAAACACUUGAGAUUUUAAGCAAUGAAGAAGUCAUUGCCAUUAAUCAAGACUCACUUGGAGUCUAGGGAAGGAAAGUUUUGCAUGGAACCAUUCCUAAUGAACUUACCAAUUAUUCUGAUCUAAGAGCACUGUUUGAGGGUACUCACCUUUGGAUUUCACUUGGUUUUCCUAUUGUACUCCCCCAUGCUGAAAGUGAUCAAGCUGCAGCCAUGCCAAAGGUGAAGCGUUUCCGAAAUCCACAAAAAUCAUCACUUCAGCUUCCAGCUAAUUCUUUACCAUCAACAAAUCCUGCACCAACUAAUUAUCUUGCAAACCAGUGAUGCAAAUGAGCCUGAGUCUUCUAUGGGUACAAGAGGAUCAUCUGGUGGUAGCAACAUUUAGGGUGUUGAUGAUGUUUUAUAGGAUAAAACUAUUUUAGUGUAUUAUGAAGAGGUUGUAGCCUAGUCGUACGACGAGGUUUCAGAAGAUUGCCCUUGUUGGUAUUGCGCAGCGAAAUGUUUAGUGUAUAGGGGUAACACGUGGCAACUCGAGGUUGUAGCCUAGUCGUACGACGAGGUUUCAGAAGAUUGCCCUUGUUGGUAUCACGCAACGAAAUGUUUAGUGUAUCGACAAAAACCAAGAGGGGGGUGAAUUGGUUUUAAGUAAUAAAAUUAAUA